CGAUGACGUCAGCAAGCAAAGAGGCCCGUCCACGGCCAGCUCCGUAAAGCGUACGAGAGCUCUUGACGUUUCGCUUCUUUGCGUUCAGUUUCGUGUUAUUUUCGGUCGGUCGUUCGAUCUCCAGUCGGCUGCGUUCGAUCGGUAUCGUCGGGAAUUCGGUACGUAUCACGUGGCGGGAAAAGCGUAUCGUUGCUCCGAAGUCGCGCGUUCCUUCUGCGAGUGCAAUCGAGAAUCGAAAAGCGAAAGAGAGAAAGCGGCUAGAGAGAUGGAGGAGGAGGCGUCCGUAGCGACCUAACCUCCCAACCGGUGCGUCAGUGAUUUUAAUCGGCGUUAUAGCACAGCCGUAUAACCGUGUCACGCGAACCUGUACGAACUAUUGCGGAAACUGAUUCGUCCGAGAAACGCUAAAACAUCUGGCGUUCACCGUUUGACAGCAAGCCGACGACAGGCAUUCCUCGAGUACAGUUUCUAACCUCUGUCGCGCCACCGGUGUUGAUUUUAAACGUACGAACGAAAACGGAGCAAUGGGUGAAGUCGAUGAAUAAAGAGACAAAGUGGAAUAGGUGAAAAAAAAAAAAAAAAAAAAACUGUCGUGCAUACAUCGACAUUCGUGUUCAAUCUCGUUUUUUGUUUCUUCUUUCGUCCUACGUGCUAGCCUGAGAAAAUAUCGUGAUCCGAUUGGCGGUAGAAAUUCAUUCUGAAGCGAGACGGAUGAGCGAGGAGCAACCUGUUUCACAUCUGUGUGAGUGCAUCCGUGUUUCUCAUGGAAUGCGAGAAUCGUGCGUGCAUAGGCAUCCUCAUACGUGGUGAUUUUUAAUUAAAAUUAGAUGAAAGUGCAGUGUUCGUAUAGACGAGUGCAUCUGCUCCUUGUCGUCCCGUAACGUGCUCCGUUAGCGUGAAUCAGUGAUCCUCUUACGCAGUUGAAGAAACGAGUUCGAUUUUUGUCCGGAUUCCUUCCGCACUAACGAUUCGUAGUUCGUAC
Molecule: long non-coding RNA, 982 nt
Organism: Frieseomelitta varia
Lineage: Eukaryota; Metazoa; Arthropoda; Insecta; Hymenoptera; Apidae
Exons: 2
Source: RefSeq, a predicted model, not a curated record